CCUACGGGAGGCAGCAGUGAGGAAUAUUGGUCAAUGGACGCAAGCCUGACCCAGCAAUGCCGCGUGCAGGAAGACGGCUUUCUGGGUUUAAACUUCUUUUUACAGGGAAGAGUAGAAGGCGGUACCUGUCGAAUAAGCCACGGCUAACUACUUGCCAUCAGCCGCCGUAAUACGUAGGUGGCAAGCGUUGUCCGGAUUUAUGGGGUUUAAAGGGCGUGUAGCCGGGUUGACAAGUCAGAUGUGAAAUCCUGCGGCUUAACCGCAGAACUGCAUUUGAUACUGUUGAUCUUGAGUACUGGAGCGGCAGACGGAAUGCAUAGUGUAGCGGUGAAAUGCGUAGAGAGUAGAAAGAACACCAGUGGCGAAGGCGGUCUGCUAGACAGCAACUGACGGUGAGGCGCGAAAGCGUGGGGAGCAAACAGGAUUAGAUACCCGUGUAGUC
Molecule: ribosomal RNA, 442 nt
Filed under: uncultured bacterium
Lineage: Bacteria
Description: partial 16S ribosomal RNA
Rfam family: Bacterial small subunit ribosomal RNA
Source: RNAcentral